RNAcentral lists this long non-coding RNA (930 nucleotides) under Homo sapiens (human). RNAcentral's name for it is "HSALNT0388333". Lineage: Eukaryota; Metazoa; Chordata; Mammalia; Primates; Hominidae. The record is from RNAcentral.
GUGCCAAACUUGAUGAUGUGAUGGUUCUUCGGGUCUGGUGCGCUGCUGCUGGGGCGAAGAGCACAGCCAGAGGGUAGGCAGGCCUGGGUCAGAGACCUUUCGAGAGCCCUCCCACCGCAGCCCCGUCCCAGGACCUGCCUCUGGCCACGUUCUCAUCUCACCUGCAGAGACUCCUGGAAGGAUGAGGCCUGGUACUGUGCGUACUUGGCAAUGGUGGUGUGGGAACGGGAGCUCUCACAAGGCCAGAUCUGCCGAGUGCCUGUCAGAUCCCAGUUCUCAUCUGAGGGCUGCUGCACCUGGGUGCGAACUUCCACGGUGUGUUCGCCACUCGCUUCCACCAGGGUCUUGGUGGAGAAGAGGCCCAAGUCUGGAAGGGAGGGCCGAGCAGGGUGUCGGGGCAGAGGCAGAGGAUAGGGACCGAGGACCCAAUCGACCCUUUCCCUUCCUACUCCUCUGGCUCUGACAGGGUGGUCAUAGGUUUAGCAGAGCUCAGCCCAGAAGAAAUAGGCAGGAGCCCUAGCCCCACAGGAAGCUGGGAGUGCUGGCCUCUAUCUGCAUCCUCACCAGCCCUCUUUCUCCUGCAGCUGCUCAAGGACUCAGCCCCUAGACCAGUGUUCCCAGAUGUGUGCGUGGCCAUGUGCACCGCACCUGACAGACACAUAGUAGGUGCUCAAUGAAUGGCAGCUUCUUUUUUCCCCAUUUGGAGUCUAGUCAAAACAGCAGCUUCUUUGAGUUACCAUUGGAUCCAAUUAAAGAUUAAAGAUUCAGUCAAGUGAAAGCCUGAAAUGUGCUUCAAAUAACUCAGUGUGGGGAAGGGAGAACAUACAGGUAUAAAGGAGACAAGAUUGACCUUUGUAUUUCUAUACAGCUUUCUCUAAUUUUGUAUGUGUUUGAAAUUCUGCGCAAUAAAAGACUGAGAGAGAGCCCCAA